GACGAACGCUGGCGGCGUGCUUAACACAUGCAAGUCGAGCGGUAAGGCCCUUUCGGGGUACGACGAGCGGCGAACGGGUGAGUAACACGUGGGUGACCUGCCCUCAGCUCUGGGAUAAGCCUGGGAAACUGGGUCUAAUACCGGAUAUGACUUCGCAUCGCAUGGUGGUGGGGUGGAAAGUUUUUCGGUCNGGGGAGUGGGCCCGCCGGCCUAUCAGCUUGUUGGUGGGGUGAUGGCCUACCAAGGCGACGACGGGUA
Molecule: ribosomal RNA, 258 nt
Filed under: uncultured bacterium
Lineage: Bacteria
Description: partial 16S ribosomal RNA
Rfam family: Bacterial small subunit ribosomal RNA
Source: RNAcentral